GAAUUGGUCAAGGAUCCUGAGAAGUCAUUAUCAUCAUUAUUGGUUGAUAUGAAUGAUUUAUUUCUGAAAUUGGAGGCAUCAAUUGGACAUUUUCAUGCAGUGCGCCAGCAAAGCUCUUCUGUUGAUGAAAGCUAUUCUUUUCCAUUGAUAUUUGAGAAACUUCCAGAAGUUAAUCAAGAAGGGUCUCAAUGGACUGAUUGUGAGACUAGAGAUGCUAUCAAUUUGAUCUACCAAAAUGUGGACAGAUUGAACGCCUAUCUAGCUGCCAUUGUUACAAUUCACCGGAAGCCCAGAAGAGUUACUCGAUACUGGAUACCCUAUACUUGUGGGAUUGUGGGCAUCUCUAUCUGUUCAUUAUGGUUGCUUCGGCAUAGCAGUUUAGUUGGAAGCUCUGACAUCGACAACUGGAUCCGUGAGGCAAAAGAGUCAACAGCUAGUUUCUGGAAUGACCAUGUAGAGCAACCGCUCAUCUCUAUAAGGGAUGAUCUUUUCUACACAUUCCGGAAGAGGCAGAAGGGUGCAAUGGAACCUGAAGAAGUGCAAUUAACUGCUGACUCUCUACACAGAAUGUUGCAAGCUUUCACUGAGCAGACGAAGGGUGAGAAGGCUCCACCAAAUGCAACAGACCAGGAAAUGCUUGAAAUAGUAAUGAUGAGGUAUGAGAAGGAACUGAUGCAUCCAAUUCAAAAUCUUUUUUCUGGAGAGCUUUCUCGUGCUCUUCUUAUCCAGGUUCAGAAGCUGAAGCUUGACAUUGAAGAGGCUAUGCUGGAGCUGGAUCAAAUUCUUAGGGCCAAUGAAAUCAAUUUUGCUAUUUUAGCUGCUCUGCCCGCUUUCUUCCUCUCUCUUAUUGUGAUCAUGUUGGUGCGUGCUUGGCUUAAACAGGAUAAGAAAGCAGAAGGCAGGGGAAGGGUUGCCCGAAUUCAACGACGACUGCUAAUUGUGGAAGUAGAGAGAAAGAUUAUGCAAUUAGAAAGCUGCAAAGAGCAAGGACAAGAAAAAGAUGCUCAAUGCAUGUUGGGGUUGGCAUUAUAUUAUCUGGAUCGCUUGUACUGUGCUGUCGAAGGACAUGCAAGGGCGACUGGUGAAUGGAUAAGUUUGAGGCAGGAUAUCAUUGACUUAGCGAAACCAGAUCUUCAAACUGCACAUAAACUCAGGAUUACAUCGCGGAUGGAACGGGUAUAUGACUGCUUGCUUCCGUUACCAAAAACACAGUAAUCUAUCUAUCUUUCAGUCUUCACAUUUACUAUUUCAGUCAAACAACUCCGCCUUUUGUAUAAAUUGGGGGACGAUGCUCCCCCUUUCACGCUCCACCCUUAUCUUUUGUUUUCCUGGGGUGAGAUUUGUCCUAGAGCAUUUUGCUGCUCGUUACAAUGUCCACGACAUUUUAAUUUGUACAACUACAAGAGAGAACUAAGCUACCAUUCCCCAGCAAGAGAAUCGCGGAAUACAUCUGUCUGUGACUUCUUUGUUUUUCUGCAAUGACUUGCCAUUUGACAGGCCUUUUUCCAAAAAUCUGAAUUUUUUUAGCUGUCACUGCAUUUAUCUGGCAAUAUAUUUGCAAAUCCGAUUGGAAACAACCUCUCUACUCCAUA
This 1592-nucleotide unclassified non-coding RNA is filed under the name Hevea brasiliensis (rubber tree). Lineage: Eukaryota; Viridiplantae; Streptophyta; Magnoliopsida; Malpighiales; Euphorbiaceae. The record is from RNAcentral.